Haemorhous mexicanus (house finch) is the source of this 644-nucleotide long non-coding RNA. RefSeq lists it as uncharacterized. The record is from RefSeq and is a predicted model, not a curated record. The transcript is spliced from 2 exons. NCBI's taxonomy places the organism in Eukaryota, Metazoa, Chordata, Aves, Passeriformes, Fringillidae.
ACGGCACUGCAGGGUGUACUUGUUUUUCUGGCAAGGCUUACCAUGACAGCACUAAGUCAGUAGGUGCCAAGUGUUCUCCCUUAAAACUCAUGCAUGGAAAGCUUCUAUUUCCUUGGGUGUUACAAGCUGAUCCCAACCAAGUCUUCCUCACAAAUCAAAGGGUAGAGCAGAGGUGGGCGAGUUGGAUACUCCCAGGUUACACUCCAGAUCUUGUGCUCUGCUCUCUACAGUCAUGGUGAAACAUCACCACAAGCCCAGCUCCAGAAGAGGAAACCUGAUCACCCCUUUCAGAUCUUUCAUGUGCAGCAGCCAUGGCAUGUGUGAAGCCAAGGGAUGGAGAUUCCAACCCCCAGCCCAGGGCAGGUCUGGAGGACAGAAGAAGAAGAGGUGCAUGUCCAUUAACUGCAGCACAGCUCUAUGUGCUUAUAUCACAUUUUUAUUGCACUGGUAUCCACCUGAAGUAUUUUAGAGAGAUGUUAUUGGAAAUAGGUUUCCCAUUUGCUUAACAGUCUCUUCUGUUCUAUAGUUACUUUGAAGUGUUCAUAAAAGCUGAGAUUUACAGAAUAUUAUUGUAGAAUCACAUAAUCAGUCCCUGAUUCUACAUUUUGCCUUUCCUGUAUAAAGAACAAUGCUAAUUUAUUGAA